RNAcentral lists this ribosomal RNA (463 nucleotides) under uncultured bacterium. RNAcentral's name for it is "partial 16S ribosomal RNA". It matches the Rfam family "Bacterial small subunit ribosomal RNA", at positions 28 to 507 of the family's 1533-position model. The record is from RNAcentral.
GACGAACGCUGGCGGCGUGCUUAACACAUGCAAGUCGAACGGUGAACCUCUUCGGAGGGGAUCAGUGGCGAACGGGUGAGUAACACGUGGGCAACCUGCCCCCGGCUCUGGGAUAACUCCAAGAAAUUGGGGCUAAUACCGGAUGUUCACCGCUUCCCGCAUGGGUGGUGGUGGAAAGGGUUUCCGGCUGGGGAUGGGCCCGCGGCCUAUCAGCUUGUUGGCGGGGUAGUGGCCUACCAAGGCGACGACGGGUAGCCGGCCUGAGAGGGUGACCGGCCACACUGGGACUGAGACACGGCCCAGACUCCUACGGGAGGCAGCAGUGGGGAAUAUUGCGCAAUGGGCGGAAGCCUGACGCAGCGACGCCGCGUGGGGGAUGACGGCCUUCGGGUUGUAAACCUCUUUCAGCAGGGACGAAGCGCAAGUGACGGUACCUGCAGAAGAAGCACCGGCCAACUACGUG